UACGUAGGGUGCAAGCGUUAUCCGGAAUUACUGGGUGUAAAGGGCGAGUAGACGGUUAUCCAAGUCAGUUGUGAAAACUUCGUGCUCAACAUUAAGCGUGCAACUGAAACUGGACUACUAGAGUGCAGGAGAGGAAAAUGGAAUUCCUAGUGUAGCGGUGAAAUGCGUAGAUAUUAGGAGGAACACCAGUGGCGAAGGGGAUUUUCUGGACUGUAACUGAUGUUGAGGCGCGAAAGUGUGGGGAGCAAACAGG
RNAcentral lists this ribosomal RNA (253 nucleotides) under uncultured Eubacteriales bacterium. Its description in RNAcentral is "uncultured Clostridiales bacterium partial 16S ribosomal RNA". It matches the Rfam family "Bacterial small subunit ribosomal RNA", at positions 524 to 776 of the family's 1533-position model. Lineage: Bacteria; Bacillati; Bacillota; Clostridia; Eubacteriales. The record is from RNAcentral.